Molecule: ribosomal RNA, 384 nt
Filed under: uncultured eukaryote
Lineage: Eukaryota
Description: SSU rRNA
Rfam family: Eukaryotic small subunit ribosomal RNA
Source: RNAcentral
AGCUCCAAUAGCGUAUAUUAAAGUUGUUGCAGUUAAAAAGCUCGUAGUUGGAUUUGUGGUGUGUCCAGUCGGCCUCUUCUCUUUGAGGAGUAGUGCUGUACUGGUCUGCCAUGUUUGGGUGGAAUCUGUGUGGCAUUAGGUUGUCGUGCAGGGGAUGCCCAUCGUUUACUGUGAAAAAAUUAGAGUGUUCAAAGCAGGCUUAUGCCGUUGAAUAUAUUAGCAUGGAAUAAUAAUAUAGGACCUUGGUACUAUUUUGUUGGUUUGCGCACUAAGGUAAUGAUUAAGAGGGACAGUUGGGGGUAUUUGUAUUCCAUUGUCAGAGGUGAAAUUCUUGGAUUUUUGGAAGACAAACUACUGCGAAAGCAUUUACCAAGGAUGUUUUCA